GACGAACGCUGGCGGCGUGCUUAACACAUACAAGUCGAACGGAAAGGCCCCUUCGGGGGUACUCGAGUGGCGAACGGGUGAGUAACACGUGAGUAACCUGCCCUUGACUUCGGGAUAACUUCAGGAAACUGGGGCUAAUACCGGAUAGGAAUCCUUGCUGCAUGGUGGGGGUUGGAAAGCUUCGGCGGUUUUGGAUGGACUCGCGGCUUAUCAGCUUGUUGGUGGGGUAGUGGCUUACCAAGGCUUUGACGGGUAGCCGGCCUGAGAGGGCGACCGGCCACAUUGGGACUGAGAUACGGCCCAGACUCCUACGGGAGGCAGCAGUGGGGAAGAUUGCACAAUGGGCGGAAGCCUGAUGCAGCAACGCCGCGUGCGGGAUGACGGCCUUCGGGUUGUAAACCGCGUUCAGCAGGGGCGAAGCUUGUGGUGACGGUACCUGCAGAAGAAGCACCGGCUAACUACGUG
Molecule: ribosomal RNA, 465 nt
Filed under: uncultured bacterium
Lineage: Bacteria
Description: partial 16S ribosomal RNA
Rfam family: Bacterial small subunit ribosomal RNA
Source: RNAcentral